CUUCCAAACUACCUCCAUUUCUUCAUUUAUCAACUAAACAAAAUCUCUUUCCUUCUUACAUAUAAAGGUCUUCUAUCUUUAAAUUGUUUUCCUACAAUUGAUCAAGUGAACCGACUGCUAGAGCGUGGCGACAGGUCAAAAGGUUGAAGAAGUAUACUGCCAUAGAUAAAUGGAACACACAACUAAGGUCUCUCUACCAAAUUGUUGGCAACAGAGUAUGUUGAGAUUUCCCAUCUAAAAGAAGUGAUUAUACCGACGACUUAUAAUGCAAUGAAAGACAAGAGGGGUUGCUCUGAUGGUAAGCAACCCCCACUUCCAACCGAGAGGUUGUGAGUUCGAGUCUCCCCAAGAGCAAAGUGGUAAGUUCCUGGAGGGAAGGACACCGGGGGUUUAUUUGGAAACAGCCUCUCUACCCAAGGAUAGGGGUGAGGUUUGCGUACAUACUAUCCUCCCCAGACCCCUUGUUGUUGUUGUUGUUAUAAUACAAUGAAAAGAAGAGAGGACUCCAAGCUUAAGGUUUAUGAUUCCCAAAAACUAGAAAUAAAGCAGCAAAUUUAGGUCCUUUUGAAGUUCCAAUAAUUACAUGAUCCCUUUUUUCUCCUUGUGUACUGGCACCCCACCCCCACCCCAACCCCCUCUUUUGUUCACAGAGGACAUUUCAGUUGCCUGAUGGGCAGGCUAAAGUUAGGUAAAAAUUAUCCUGCAUUAGGUAGUAAAUAGCACACUGGAUUGUUCAUUGGGUAAUUUAUUUGCCCAAUUUCUGGUUGUUCAAGUAUACAUAUGGAACUUGAUUAAGUUAUAGUAAUUUGGUGGUCAUUUUUAUGUGACUUUCAUUUUGAAGAAGAAAAUUAGUGUGCUUGAAAAAGCUUGAGGGCGGUCAAUCUGAUUUCUGGUAAAAAAGUUAAAUAGAAUAUCUU
RNAcentral lists this long non-coding RNA (917 nucleotides) under Nicotiana benthamiana. RNAcentral describes it as "long non-coding RNA (NBEN_LNC042035)". Lineage: Eukaryota; Viridiplantae; Streptophyta; Magnoliopsida; Solanales; Solanaceae. The record is from RNAcentral.